RNAcentral lists this small RNA (646 nucleotides) under Histoplasma capsulatum var. duboisii H88. RNAcentral's name for it is "Histoplasma capsulatum H88 hypothetical RNA". The record is from RNAcentral. Lineage: Eukaryota; Fungi; Ascomycota; Eurotiomycetes; Onygenales; Ajellomycetaceae.
UCACUCUUCGCCUUUCGCGCUGACAUUCUUCUUCCGCUGCCGGGUGAGAGUGUCUUCUAUCCUCCCAGUUAAUCCCGCCUUGAGUUCUCUCUCUCCCUCUCCCUCUCUCUCUCGUCUCUCCAUCAUUCGUUGAGAGACGUUUCUCCUCCUCGAUUCCUUCCUGGGAACUCAUUAUCUCCUCCGUUUCCCUAUCAAUGCGCACCGGAAAGGAUCGGGCAUUGAAUUGCUAGGCCCUGUUGGAUUUCUUCUUCCAUUCUCCAAUAUAUCCUCGUCUUUAAUAAACUCCUUUCCCCCUCGACCACCACUCCAAGAGAAGAAGAACACAGUGCCAGCUUAACAGGGACCGACAACAACUAACCCCCCAACCGAUCCUGUUCGUUGUUUGCCCAGCCGUCUCGAAGAAGCACGAAGACCUCUAUCGCGUGUUCUGCCCCUUUCAUGAACCGUUGGAAAAUAAUAUAGUUCACACCGUCACCAUGGGGGUUGCAAAGGGAGCAUCCAGUGUCAAUGGCUUCGGGAGCGCAUUCGCCGCCAAACAUAACCUCCCGUCACACUUUAUCGGAGGCAGUCGUCUCGACCUGGCCCCACCUGGGAAAGUGAAGGAUUUUGUUGCGAAGAACGAUGGCCAUUCAGUUAUUACUUCGGU